GCACCGCAAAACUUUCAAGCCUCUGCGCCAAGAACACCUGCCAAGAAUCCUCAACCGAUACCCACAUGUCUCCCACCUCGAUCUCUCCUUCUGUCCUCGAAUAAACGAUAAUUCUCUAACGGUCAUCUCGAAUAUCUGCAAGGAUUCGCUGAGGUCUAUUGAUCUUUCGCGCUCCAGGUUCUUUUCCUAUAAUGGAUUGAUGAGUUUAGCUUUGAAUUGCAAGAAUUUGGUUGACAUUGACUUGUCGAACGCGACGGAGCUGAGAGAUGCGGCGGCUGCGGCGGUGGCAGAGGCCAAGAAUCUGGAGAGGCUUUGGUUGGGGAGGUGCAAGUUGAUUACGGAUAUGGGUAUUGGGUGUAUUGUUGUUAGGUGCAAGAAGCUAAGAUUGAUUAGCUUGAAAUGAUGUUUAGGUGUUACUGAUUUGGGAGUUGACUUGAUUGCUGUCAAGUAUAAGGAGAUUCGGAGUUUGGAUCUCUCUUAUUUGCCGAUCACAAAUAAGUGUUUACCUUCCAUUCUGAAACUCCAAAAUCUUGAAGAUUUGGUUCUGGAAGGAUGCUUUGGUAUUGACGAUGAUAGCCUUACAGCCCUCAAACACGGUUGUAAGUCACUGAAGACGCUUGCUUUGUCAAGUUGUCAGAACAUUGGUCAUGUUGGUUUGUCUUCCCUGAUCAGUGGUGCUGGAGUUUUAGAGCUACCGACUUUGGCAUAUGGCUCUCCUGUCACUCUAGCGCUUGCUAAUAGUCUGAAAAAUCUUUCAGUAUUGCAAUCUGUCAAAGUAGAUGGUUGUCCAGUUACCUCUGCUGGAUUGAAGGCCCUUGGAAAUUUUCUUACAUCGCUUAGGGAGCUGAGCCUAAGUGUUUGGGAGUGACAGAUGAAGGUCUUGCCUCUGUUGUAAGAAAGCACAGAGAAUUAAGGAAGCUAGAUAUCACAUGCUGUCAAAAAAUAACUGAUGUUUCUGUUGCCCACAUUACAAGUUCACGCACAAAACUCACUUCUCUCAUAAUGGAAUCAUGUACUUUAGUUUCUAGAGAAGCAUUUACAUUGAUUGGACAGCGGUGCCAGUUUGGAACUUGAUUUAACAGAUAAUGAGAUAGAUGAUAAAGGUUUGAAGUCAAUUUCUAGAUGUUCAAAUCUAUCCAGCUUGAAAUUAGGAAUUUGCCUAAACAUAAGUGACGAGGGACUUGCUUAUCUUGGCACGCACUGCUCAAAACUUACUGAGCUUGACUUGUACAGGUAUCAAUUAACAUUUUUUAACUUUGUUUACUAUUUUUAUUCUCUUAGGUCAAUCUAUGUUUUCGUGGGGAUUUAUCUUAGUUCAGUUUAGCAAUGUGGCCUUUAACAUUUAUAAAUAGAAUAACUUUGCGUGAGCCAUGAUUUUUUUGUUUUCUUAUUUUUUGUGCAUGGAUUUAAGUGAAAUAGUGAGAUAUUCACAUUUGAGUGGACUGUGGUGGCUUGUUCAGGUCUUCUGAAAUAACAGAUUCAAGAAUUUUAGCAAUUGCUUCAGGUUGCCAUGACCUGCAGAUGAUUAAUAUGUCCUACUGUAGAGAUAUUACGGAUAGUUCUUUGAUAUCACUGUCAAAAUGCAUGAGGUUAAACACCUUUGAAAGUCGAGGAUGUCCUCUGGUCACGUGUUUGGGUAUAGUAGCCAUUGCACUCGGGUGUAAGCAACUCACUAAGUUAGACAUAAAGAAGUGUCAAAAUUUUGAUGAUACUGGGAUGCUUCCACUUGCUCACUUUUCGCAAAAUCUUAGACAGAUUAGUUUAUCAUAUAGCUCCAUCACAGAUGUGGGGCUUUUGUCCCUUGCCAGCAUCAGCUGCCUACAAAACAUGACUGUCUUGCACUUGGAGGGCUUGACUCCACGCGGAUUGGCAGCUGCCUUGUUGGCAUGUGGAGGACUAACAAAAGUGAAGCUCCAUGCAGCUUUUAAAUCACUGCUUCCCCAGCCACUUUUUGAGCAUUUGGAAGCACGUGGUUGUGUGUUUGAAUGGAGAGAGAAAAAAUUUCAGGCUGAAUUGGAUCCCAAGUGCUGGAAAUUACAGUUGGAAGAUUUGGUUCCAUAAAUAGUUUCACGGUUCGUUUUUUAAAAAAAGAGGAGUCCUUAAAGUGUAAUUGAAUGGGAGGUAAAGUUUCUAAUGCCAGCAAAGCUAGGUCCCAUCACUGCUAGGACUGAAGAAUGCCAAGUCCAUGAAUGUUGAAAUUCCGGGUGGAUUUGAUUUGCUUGUUCAAGAUUUGGAUUUGAUGUAACGAUCAUUUUUUAGCGCUUUUCAAUUGCAGUAUAUCAGAGAAGAAAAAUCUUGUUAUCCUUUUAAUUUAUUGGAUAGCAUCGAGGCAAGACACCUGUCUUGUGUAGGGUGUAACAUGCAAGUCAAAACGUUUUCAUUUUGAUAUUUUAGAUAUAAGAGAGGGAUUUUAUUGUAGAGGCGGCUGUAUUGAGCAUUUAUAA
This 2444-nucleotide unclassified non-coding RNA is filed under the name Hevea brasiliensis (rubber tree). Lineage: Eukaryota; Viridiplantae; Streptophyta; Magnoliopsida; Malpighiales; Euphorbiaceae. The record is from RNAcentral.